Molecule: ribosomal RNA, 370 nt
Filed under: uncultured Pelotomaculum sp.
Lineage: Bacteria; Bacillati; Bacillota; Clostridia; Eubacteriales; Desulfotomaculaceae
Description: bacterial SSU rRNA
Rfam family: Bacterial small subunit ribosomal RNA
Source: RNAcentral
ACCCUCGGGUGACAGGGAGACAGGUGGUGCUAUGGUUGUCGUCAGGCUCGUGUCGUGAGAUGUUGGGUUAAGUCCCGCAACGAGCGCAACCCCUACGUUUAGUUGCUAACGCGUGAAGGCGAGCACUCUAGGCGAACUGCCGUUGACAAAACGGAGGAAGGUGGGGAUGACGUCAAAUCAUCAUGCCCCUUAUGUUCUGGGCUACACACGUGCUACAAUGGCCGGUACAGACGGAGGCGAAGCCGCGAGGCGGAGCAAAUCCGAAAAAGCCGGUCUCAGUUCGGAUUGCAGGCUGCAAUUCGCCUGCAUGAAGUCGGAAUCGCUAGUAAUCGCAGGUCAGCAUACUGCGGUGAAUACGUUCCCGGGCCUU